This 32-nucleotide transfer RNA is filed under the name Pristimantis colodactylus. Its description in RNAcentral is "partial tRNA-Leu". Lineage: Eukaryota; Metazoa; Chordata; Amphibia; Anura; Strabomantidae. The record is from RNAcentral.
GUUAAUGUAGCAAACCUAGGCUUUGCAAAGAC